UUACGGCCACAUUACGUCGAAACAUCGGUUCUCGUACGAUCACCGAAGUUAAGCAACGUUGAGUCUAGUGAGUACCUAGAUGGGUGACUGCUUCGGCAUACCAGGUGC
This is a non-coding RNA of Acanthosepion pharaonis, 108 nucleotides long. Lineage: Eukaryota; Metazoa; Mollusca; Cephalopoda; Sepiida; Sepiidae. The record is from the annotation of a GenBank genome assembly.